Molecule: long non-coding RNA, 584 nt
Organism: Daphnia magna
Lineage: Eukaryota; Metazoa; Arthropoda; Branchiopoda; Diplostraca; Daphniidae
Exons: 3
Source: RefSeq, a predicted model, not a curated record
GACGCGGUAUAUCGUGUACGCGUACCGUGUACCGUGUACCGGUAUAUCGUGGAAAACGAUCGUGGAAUGGCUUGCUCCGCCCCCAAAGGGGAGGAGCCUAUUAUCGUGGAAUAGGUCGAUUUCCACGGUAUAUCGUGGAAAGCGAUCGUGUACCACUAUACGUAUACAUACACAGCAGACAACAGGCCCAAAGAAUCAAAAUUCAAACUUGACACGUGUGGUGAAUUGUUUAUUGACUUCAUAUACAAGUAGUUUUAAGUACAAUGUCUUCCAGGCCAAAUAGAAAAUGCAAAGCCACUAAUCCACCUCUGUCAACAGUGUGUAGAAGUUCAAAGAUAUAAAAUAUCAACAUGGCCGCGCACAUCUAGAUGCUACUUAUAGAAAAGCUGCACCUGUACUUUUACUUAUUGCUUUCCAACUAGAUGAUGCUUAUUGACUAUGCCUCUUGAUCAAGUAGCCGACGGCUACUACAAGAAAACUGAAUAAUGGCCGAAAUGAUGGGUGCCGGCACGUUAUGGCAAUUUUUGUUUUUCGAAGGUUUUAGAUGUAAUUGUUCCAAAUAAAUUACGACCUAUAUUCCAAAA